Molecule: ribosomal RNA, 366 nt
Filed under: uncultured bacterium
Lineage: Bacteria
Description: bacterial SSU rRNA
Rfam family: Bacterial small subunit ribosomal RNA
Source: RNAcentral
AUGGGUAUGGGUCCCGAAAGGCAGAUCCCCCGAGCUGGUACUGAAACACCGACCAUACUCCUACGGGAGGCAUUGGUGAGGAAUAUUGGACAACCGGCACACGUCUGAUCCACCCAUGCCGCUCGAAAGAUGACAGACUUAUUGAUUGCAAACUGCUUUUGUUUUGAAGAAACNCUCCNNAUUNUUGGAGCUUGACGGUACUGUUAAACUAAUGAUCGCCUAACUCCGUGCAACAGCCGCGAUAAUACAGAUAAUCAAAACGUUUCCGGAAUCAUUGGGGCUUAAGGGUCCGCAGGAGACUUAUAUGUCAUCGGUGAAAUCUCCCUGCUCAACUNAAAACUUCCAUUGUUACUGUAGGACUUGAAU